Molecule: long non-coding RNA, 1262 nt
Organism: Anopheles gambiae (African malaria mosquito)
Lineage: Eukaryota; Metazoa; Arthropoda; Insecta; Diptera; Culicidae
Exons: 5
Source: RefSeq, a predicted model, not a curated record
UCCCUCAGUACCGCAAGCCGAAGUGAAAAGUAAAGCAACAAUAGUACUCUCGUCUACUGUUAUACUCUAACGUAACCAUGUUUGCAGGUAUUUGAGGCUCUGUCUACUUUGCUUGACAUUUACUAAUGUUUUGCUACUAUUUUAGGGACGCCGCCUACGAGAUCUAUGACUUCGAGUCUAUAUGAAUUUGCUGAUUCGCUGAUAUUCGCAGACGAGAUCUAUGACGUCUAGUCUGUAUCAACCAUUUAUUGCAGAUCGUAAUCACGCAAAUUGUCGACGAUGCUGGUGAGGCAGAUACCUUGAGCGUAUUAGUGUGCUGACUAUUACCCGAUAAGCCAAAUACACUCGGGCUUCGUGGAGCGCAACUCCGGAGUAUCUUCUAGAGCGCCCUUGCCCCUUCCUUGCUGUCGUUACCCAUAACUGUUAGCUGGAGACAUUUUUAUAUCGGUAUCGUAUGACAAACUAGUGUCAAAGUGUUUCCUGCACCCCUUACCGUGGAGAUGUGCGCCAGUGAAGUGCGACGAGAAGGUUAGAGCGGGGGAAGAUUAUGCUUUCUCCCUCAGUACCGCAAGCCGAAGUGAAAAGUAAAGCAACAAUAGUACUCUCGUCUACUGUUAUACUCUAACGUAACCAUGUUUGCAGGUAUUUGAGGCUCUGUCUACUUUGCUUGACAUUUACUAAUGUUUUGCUACUAUUUUAGGGACGCCGCCUACGAGAUCUAUGACUUCGAGUCUAUAUGAAUUUGCUGAUUCGCUGAUAUUCGCAGACGAGAUCUAUGACGUCUAGUCUGUAUCAACCAUUUAUUGCAGAUCGUAAUCACGCAAAUUGUCGACGAUGCUGGUGAGGCAGAUGAAGUCCAGCAUUCUACAACAAUAACAAAAAGUUUGCAACUUAAUUAUUGUAAGUCUUUGACAGUGGCAAAGACCAGUCCCCAGAGACAAAGACCCCUGGCAAAGACCAACUCGGAGGGGUUAGUAGAUUUAGCAAUGCAGCUUUGCUAAAAAAGCGUGCAAUAUUGAUGAUCCUGAUACUGAUCCUAUCGCGUCAAAAACGCGAAAAACAAACAAUAGAAAAAUAGCAAAAGGAACAGAAAGGAAAAACGACCAAUAGUUGCAUUGUUCGAUAGCAAUUUGAUGUAAAGUAGAUGGACAAGAAGAACUACAUAGUCAAAUCACGCCAACAAUAGGCUUAGUGCACACCAUAAAGUAAAUAUCUGUUAUAGAAGUAAGAUUCGGUACUACAGCGUAGGCUGUUCAACCAAU